This 204-nucleotide unclassified non-coding RNA is filed under the name Hevea brasiliensis (rubber tree). The record is from RNAcentral. Lineage: Eukaryota; Viridiplantae; Streptophyta; Magnoliopsida; Malpighiales; Euphorbiaceae.
GGGAGAUGAACGACUAUGUCUGUCUUACUAUCGAUCUCAAUUGGUUUCUAUAAGCCCAAAACAUAAAGCGCAUAAAUACAAAACAUUAAUAUGAAAAAUGUUACUCAAAAUAGCAACAUAUAUAAAACACGUGAAACGAUUGACGCGAAAAUGGGCUGCAAGACAUGAGCUUAUGCGGCUAUUGGUCUCUUCUCUGAUUUGUAC